AGCGAACGCUGGCGGCAGGCUUAACACAUGCAAGUCGAGCGGGCGUAGCAAUACGUCAGCGGCAGACGGGUGAGUAACACGUGGGAACGUACCUUUUGGUUCGGAACAACUGAGGGAAACUUCAGCUAAUACCGGAUAAGCCCUAACGGGGAAAGACUUAUCGCCGAAAGAUCGGCCCGCGUCUGAUUAGCUAGUUGGUGAGGUAAUGGCUCACCAAGGCGACGAUCAGUAGCUGGGCUGAGAGGAUGAUCAGCCACACUGGGACUGAGACACGGCCCAGACUCCUACGGGAGGCAGCAGUGGGGAAUAUUGGACAAUGGGGGCAACCCUGAUCCAGCCAUGCCGCGUGAGUGAUGAAGGCCCUAGGGUUGUAAAGCUCUUUUGUGCGGGAAGAUAAUGACGGUACCGCAAGAAUAAGCCCCGGCUAACUUCGUGCCAGCCGCCGCCGUAA
This 451-nucleotide ribosomal RNA is filed under the name uncultured bacterium. RNAcentral describes it as "partial 16S ribosomal RNA". It matches the Rfam family "Bacterial small subunit ribosomal RNA", at positions 29 to 523 of the family's 1533-position model. The record is from RNAcentral.